Calypte anna (Anna's hummingbird) is the source of this 437-nucleotide long non-coding RNA. RefSeq lists it as uncharacterized. The record is from RefSeq and is a predicted model, not a curated record. The transcript has 3 exons. Lineage: Eukaryota; Metazoa; Chordata; Aves; Apodiformes; Trochilidae.
UCAUUUCUCCUCCCUUGGUGCAUGGUCGCGUCGGGAGCGGGGGAGGGUGAGCCCGGCGCGGGCCGGAGGCGGCGGGAGCGGAGACCCAGAGCGGAGGAGCCGCCACUGCCCGGCGGAGGUAUUGCCAGGAGUCUGAAGUGGUUGACCAAGACCUAAGGACUUGGAACUUGUGGUGUGUGAUGUCAAAGAGUGGGCAGUCCUUGUGUCCUCCCCCACCAGCUUGCAGCAUCAUGUGCCAGUAUGAAUAUUAAGAAAGAGAAGUGUACUUCAGAGCUCAGCAUCCCAGAAAGAAAGAAGGAGGAACUAAACAGAGAGAACAAAUGACUGCACUGCUUGCAAAACUGGGGGCUGUUCACUUUUUCUCCUGAGAAAUUUCAACUUGGGCUUUGUGAGAGAACUGAACGAGCAGACAGAAGAGCCACAGUGAUUUUAUUAAG